GAUGAACGCUAGCGGCAGGCUUAACACAUGCAAGUCGAGGGGUAUUGGUUUUCGGACCAAGAGACCGGCGCACGGGUGCGUAACGCGUAUGCAAUCUACCUUUUGCAGAGGGAUAGCCCCAGAGAAAUUUGGAUUAAUACCUCAUAGUAUAGUACUUUGGCAUCAAGGAACUAUUAAAGUCACAACGGCAAAAGAUGAGCAUGCGUCCCAUUAGCUAGUUGGUAAGGUAACGGCUUACCAAGGCUACGAUGGGUAGGGGUUCUGAGAGGGAGAUCCCCCCACACUGGUACUGAGACACGGACCAGACUCCUACGGGAGGCAGCAGUGAGGAAUAUUGGACAAUGGGCGCAAGCCUGAUCCAGCCAUGCCGCGUGCAGGAUGACGGUCCUAUGGAUUGUAAACUGCUUUUAUACAGGAAGAAACACUCCGACGUGUCGGAGCUUGACGGUACUGUAAGAAUAAGGAUCGGCUAACUCCGUGCCAGCAGCCGCGGUAA
This 496-nucleotide ribosomal RNA is filed under the name uncultured bacterium. RNAcentral describes it as "bacterial SSU rRNA". It matches the Rfam family "Bacterial small subunit ribosomal RNA", at positions 28 to 523 of the family's 1533-position model. The record is from RNAcentral.